ACUCAAAGGAAUAGACGGGGGCCCGCACAAGCAGCGGAGCGUGUGGUUUAAUUCGAUGCAACGCGAAGAACCUUACCCAGACUUGACAUGACCGAGCAAGCCGCGGAAACGUGGCCCUCUUCGGACCCGGUCACAGAUGUUGCAUGGCUGUCGUCAGCUCGUGUCGUGAGAUGUUGGGUUAAGUCCCGCAACGAGCGCAACCCUCGUGUGCUGUUGCCAAUCAGCGCAGACUGCCGGUACAAGCCGGAGGAAGGUGGGGAUGAUGUCAAGUCCGCAUGGCUCUUACGUCUGGGGCUACACACACGCUACAAUGGCCGGGACAGCGGGAAGCCACGGGGCGACCCGGAGCGGAUCCCAAAACCCGGUCUCAGUUCGGAUGGCAGGCUGCAACUCGCCUGCCUGAAGUCGGAGUUGCUAGUAACCGCGUGUCAGCAUAGCGCGGUGAAUAUGUUCCCGGGCCUUGUACACACCGCCCGU
This 477-nucleotide ribosomal RNA is filed under the name uncultured bacterium. RNAcentral describes it as "partial 16S ribosomal RNA". It matches the Rfam family "Bacterial small subunit ribosomal RNA", at positions 899 to 1397 of the family's 1533-position model. The record is from RNAcentral.